RNAcentral lists this ribosomal RNA (676 nucleotides) under Wildemania miniata. Its description in RNAcentral is "eukaryotic LSU rRNA". It matches the Rfam family "Eukaryotic large subunit ribosomal RNA", at positions 364 to 1006 of the family's 3401-position model. The record is from RNAcentral. Lineage: Eukaryota; Rhodophyta; Bangiophyceae; Bangiales; Bangiaceae.
AUGCAAAGAACUUUGAAAAGAGAGUUAAACAGGGCUUGAAACCGUUAAGAGUGAAGCGAAGGAGGCCAGUGAUCAUGGGGCCAGAUCCCCAAGCGGCCUGACCUGCAAAGGUUGGGCGUCGUAGCGUUCUGGUUUUUCCCGGGGCAGCGCCGGCCGGGGGUGGGUGUCAACAGGAUUGGGGUUGAGGCAUUUACUUGUCACCCCUUUCCAUCCAGCUUGCACCCUGGCCGAGGGAUCCACGACGCAAGUUGUGUGAGGGCGCUGUCAAAAUGGCCUUCUCCACCCCGUCUUGAAACACGGACCAAGGAGUCUAACAUACCCGCGAGUGUUUGGGUGGUUAAAACCCAAGCGCGCAAUGAAAGUAAACGGCGGCUCUGCGCCGCUGUCUGGUGGGAACCCUACCCUUGUAGUUGGGGGCACCAUCACCCAACCCCGAUCCCCUUGGGGUGGUUGGUUUUGAGGCAGAGCGAGUAUGAUGGGACCCGAAAGAUGGUGAACUAUUCCUGAGUAGGGCGAAGCCAGAGGAAACUCUGGUGGAGGCUCGUAGCGAUGCUGACGUGCAAAUCGCUCGUCGAACUUGGGUAUAGGGGCGAAAGACUAAUCGAACCAUCUAGUAGCUGGUUCCCUCCGAAGUUUCCCUCAGGAUAGCGGGAGCAAAUGCAAGUCAGUAUCAUCC